This 247-nucleotide ribosomal RNA is filed under the name uncultured bacterium. Its description in RNAcentral is "partial 16S ribosomal RNA". It matches the Rfam family "Bacterial small subunit ribosomal RNA", at positions 523 to 769 of the family's 1533-position model. The record is from RNAcentral.
AUACGAAGGGGGCUAGCGUUGCUCGGAAUCACUGGGCGUAAAGGGUGCGUAGGCGGGUUUCUAAGUCAGAGGUGAAAGCCUGGAGCUCAACUCCAGAACUGCCUUUGAUACUGGAAGUCUUGAGUUCGGGAGAGGUGAGUGGAACUGCGAGUGUAGAGGUGAAAUUCGUAGAUAUUCGCAAGAACACCAGUGGCGAAGGCGGCUCACUGGCCCGAUACUGACGCUGAGGCUCGAAAGCAUGGGUAGC